UAGCACUAUAUUUAAACCUACAGAUGGGA
RNAcentral lists this non-coding RNA (29 nucleotides) under Cricetulus griseus (Chinese hamster). Lineage: Eukaryota; Metazoa; Chordata; Mammalia; Rodentia; Cricetidae. The record is from RNAcentral.